UGAUCAUAAAAAAUGAGCAGAAACUAGAGAAGUACAAUAGACUGGAUCACUUACACAAGGGAAAAACACCACUUUAACAGUUCUUAACUGUUUGGAGCGCAUAUAUUCCUUUAUAAUCUCGGAAAGCUACUAGAAGGAAAGCUACCCUACUUCAGGUAAAUGCAUACACAAAACUUGGUAUGAGCUCCCUGCCCUGAAGAUCACGCAAGAAUCCUAGGUUGAGAAGCAUCACUGUAAGAGCACAACAGGAUUGAUUCUGCAAUUAAUACUUUUAUGAAGAACAAAUACAUUUACAUUUCUGCCAAGCUUUUCAUAUAAAAAUAGCUAAAAUAAGCUUCUGAACCAUAGCACACACCCUUAACAAAAAAUGCUAACAAAUAAACAUCGCUUUGGCAAACACUGGCCUUUGCUAAAUGCGUUCACGGUGAGGAAAACUGCCUCUGCACUAGCUCUGAUGGCUUGUGCAUAAAUUCUUACCAGAAAUUGUACAAAUAAAUAAG
RNAcentral lists this long non-coding RNA (500 nucleotides) under Bos taurus (domestic cattle). Its description in RNAcentral is "long non-coding RNA NONBTAT017273". The record is from RNAcentral. Lineage: Eukaryota; Metazoa; Chordata; Mammalia; Artiodactyla; Bovidae.